AGUCGAGCGGUAGAGGGAAGCUUGCUUCUCUUGAGAGCGGCGGACGGGUGAGUAAUGCCUAGGAAUCUGCCUGGUAGUGGGGGAUAACGUUCGGAAACGGACGCUAAUACCGCAUACGUCCUACGGGAGAAAGCAGGGGACCUUCGGGCCUUGCGCUAUCAGAUGAGCCUAGGUCGGAUUAGCUAGUUGGUGGGGUAAUGGCUCACCAAGGCGACGAUCCGUAACUGGUCUGAGAGGAUGAUCAGUCACACUGGAACUGAGACACGGUCCAGACUCCUACGGGAGGCAGCAGUGGGGAAUAUUGGACAAUGGGCGAAAGCCUGAUCCAGCCAUGCCGCGUGUGUGAAGAAGGUCUUCGGAUUGUAAAGCACUUUAAGUUGGGAGGAAGGGCUGUUACCUAAUACGUGAUGGUUUUGACGUUACCGACAGAAUAAGCACCGGCUAACUCUGUGCCAGCAGCCGCGGUAAUACAGAGGGUGCAAGCGUUAAUCGGAAUUACUGGGCGUAAAGCGCGCGUAGGUGGUUUGUUAAGUUGGAUGUGAAAUCCCCGGGCUCAACCCGGGAACUGCAUUCAAAACUGACUGACUAGAGUAUGGUAGAGGGUGGUGGAAUUUCCUGUGUAGCGGUGAAAUGCGUAGAUAUAGGAAGGAACACCAGUGGCGAAGGCGACCACCUGGACUGAUACUGACACUGAGGUGCGAAAGCGUGGGGAGCAAACAGGAUUAGAUACCCUGGUAGUCCACGCCGUAAACGAUGUCAACUAGCCGUUGGGAGCCUUGAGCUCUUAGUGGCGCAGCUAACGCAUUAAGUUGACCGCCUG
This 820-nucleotide ribosomal RNA is filed under the name uncultured Gammaproteobacteria bacterium. RNAcentral's name for it is "bacterial SSU rRNA". It matches the Rfam family "Bacterial small subunit ribosomal RNA", at positions 60 to 875 of the family's 1533-position model. The record is from RNAcentral. Lineage: Bacteria; Pseudomonadati; Pseudomonadota; Gammaproteobacteria.